GGAGUUAGCCGGUGCUUCUUCUGUGAGUGAUGUCCUUCCUGCCGGCUAUUAACCCGCAGGCCUUCUUCCUCACUGAAAGUGCUUUACAACCCGAAGGCCUUCUUCACACACGCGGCAUGGCUGGAUCAGGGUUGCCCCCAUUGUCCAAUAUUCCCCACUGCUGCCUCCCGUAGGAGUCUGGGCCGUGUCUCAGUCCCAGUGUGGCUGAUCAUCCUCUCAGACCAGCUACGGAUCGUCGCCUUGGUGAGCCGUUACCUCACCAACCAGCUAAUCCGACAUAGGCUCAUCCGAUAGCGCGAGGCCCGAAGGUCCCCCGNUUUCCCCCGUAGGGCGUAUGCGGUAUUAGCCUGGGUUUCCCCAGGUUAUCCCCCACUACCGGGCAGAUUCCUAUGCAUUACUCACCCGUCCGCCGCUCGCCACCAGGGAGCAAGCUCCCCGUGCUGCCGCUCGACUUGCAUGUGUUAGGCCUGCCGCCAGCGUUCAAUCUGAGCCAUGAUACCAACNCUGA
This 508-nucleotide ribosomal RNA is filed under the name uncultured bacterium. Its description in RNAcentral is "partial 16S ribosomal RNA". The record is from RNAcentral.